RNAcentral lists this ribosomal RNA (538 nucleotides) under Cymodoce aculeata. Its description in RNAcentral is "partial 16S ribosomal RNA". It matches the Rfam family "Bacterial large subunit ribosomal RNA", at positions 1796 to 2621 of the family's 2925-position model. Lineage: Eukaryota; Metazoa; Arthropoda; Malacostraca; Isopoda; Sphaeromatidae. The record is from RNAcentral.
UCGCCUGUUUAUCAAAAACAUCGCUAGAAAAAUAACUUCUAGUCGAAUCUGCCCAGUGAAUCAAUUUCAACGGCCGCAGUAUUUUGACUGUGCUAAGGUAGCAUAAUCAUUAGUUCUUUAAAUGGGAACUCGUAUGAACGAUCUGACGAGAAACCUUCUGUUUCAAUAGUACUUUAAACUUAAGAGAGAGGUAAAAACCCCUCUCGCACCCAAGAGGACGACAAGACCCUAUAAAACUUCACCUUCAUAAGAGUCUGAAAUCUAAGAAUAACCCUCCUCUCGACAAGGUUAUGCUGGGGCGGCAAGUCUUAACACCAACAAAUCUAUCUCUAACAACCUGAUUGAUCUUAAUAAACAUUUAUAUGUAACAGAGAACAAGUUACUUUAGGGAUAACAGCGCUAUACUUCUUAAGAGCCCAUAUCGACAGAAGUGCUUGCGACCUCGAUGUUGAAUUGAAGAACCUUAGUGGAGCAGCCCUUACUAAAAGGAAGUCUGUUCGACUUAAAAUCCUUCACAUGAUCUGAGUUCCAAACCGGA